This 275-nucleotide ribosomal RNA is filed under the name uncultured bacterium. Its description in RNAcentral is "partial 16S ribosomal RNA". It matches the Rfam family "Bacterial small subunit ribosomal RNA", at positions 523 to 796 of the family's 1533-position model. The record is from RNAcentral.
AGACGGAGGGCGCAAGCGUUGUUCGGAAUUACUGGGCGUAAAGGGCAGGUAGGUGGUCUGUUAAGUCUUCUGUGAAAAUCCGGGGCUCAACCCCGCGAAAUGCAAACGAUACUGGCAGACUGGAGACCGGUAGAGGCUAGCGGAAUUCCUGGUGUAGCGGUGGAAUGCGUAGAUAUCAGGAAGAACACCUGUGGCGAAGGCGGCUAGCUGGGCCGGGUCUGACGCUGAACCGCGAAAGCGUGGGGAGCAAACAGGAUUAGAAACCCCGGUAGUCC